RNAcentral lists this ribosomal RNA (367 nucleotides) under Macrothelidae gen. 2 sp. 2 ZZY-2021a. Its description in RNAcentral is "partial large subunit ribosomal RNA". Lineage: Eukaryota; Metazoa; Arthropoda; Arachnida; Araneae; Macrothelidae. The record is from RNAcentral.
CUCAAUGAUCUUCUAAACAAUCGCUGAUUUCCUUGCUAUGGUGCUAAACAUUUGGCUUUUAAUUGAAGGCUACAAUGAAAGAUUCCACAUGUUAUUUUCUAUAUUAAUAUAUUUCUACGAGUACAAAAAUUCUCCUAAAAAAGAGGGACGAAAAAACUCUGUCGGACUUUUUUUCAAGGUAGGCUGGAGUGGCAAAAAACAAUUUCUUUUAUAACAGCUUUUAAACAACACAAUCUAGGAUAAAUUAUGUUGCCGCAGGGAUAACUGCAUCAUUUGUUUCUAAAGAUCUUAUGUACGAAACAGAUUGCGACCUCGAUGCUGAAUUAAUAUUUUGUUAGGAGCAAGAUCUUAAUAAGUCUGUUCGACU